Molecule: RNase P RNA, 381 nt
Filed under: Candidatus Cloacimonadota bacterium
Lineage: Bacteria; Pseudomonadati; Candidatus Cloacimonadota
Description: RNase P RNA component class A
Rfam family: Bacterial RNase P class A
About the family: Ribonuclease P (RNase P) is a ubiquitous endoribonuclease, found in archaea, bacteria and eukarya as well as chloroplasts and mitochondria. Its best characterised activity is the generation of mature 5'-ends of tRNAs by cleaving the 5'-leader elements of precursor-tRNAs.
Source: RNAcentral
CGGGGAAGCUCAGAUGUCUGCGCUACGUAAGCAGUGAGGAAAGUCCGGACACCACAGGGCGGGAUACUUCCUAACGGGAAGCUGCAGCAAUGCAGAGCCAGCUCCACAGAAACAAACCGCCUCUGAUCAGACAUUGCUAUCGCAGUGGAUUUUCUGGGGCAAGGGUGAAAUGGCGGUGUAAGAGACCACCGGUAUCUCCGGUAACGGAGAUAGCCAGGAAUGCCUUAUCCGGUGCAAUGCCAAAUAGGAAAGCUCAGCGCUGCCCGCGCCAGUAUGCUUUCGGGUAGGCAGCAAGAACCCUGCCGUGAGGCAGGGUCCAGAGGAAUAGACAUCAUCCUGCGAGACAGGAUACAGAAUCCGGCUUAUGCGCUUCCCCGGGUU